This 497-nucleotide ribosomal RNA is filed under the name uncultured bacterium. RNAcentral's name for it is "partial 16S ribosomal RNA". It matches the Rfam family "Bacterial small subunit ribosomal RNA", at positions 28 to 507 of the family's 1533-position model. The record is from RNAcentral.
GAUGAACGCUGGCGGCGUGCCUAAUACAUGCAAGUCGAGCGAACAGACGAGGAGCUUGCUCCUCUGACGUUAGCGGCGGACGGGUGAGUAACACGUGGAUAACCUACCUAUAAGACUGGGAUAACUUCGGGAAACCGGAGCUAAUACCGGAUAAUAUAUUGAACCGCAUGGUUCAAUAGUGAAAGACGGUUUUGCUGUCACUUAUAGAUGGAUCCGCGCCGCAUUAGCUAGUUGGUAAGGUAACGGCUUACCAAGGCAACGAUGCGUAGCCGACCUGAGAGGGUGAUCGGCCACACUGGAACUGAGACACGGUCCAGACUCCUACGGGAGGCAGCAGUAGGGAAUCUUCCGCAAUGGGCGAAAGCUUGACGGAGCAACGCCGCGUGAGUGAUGAAGGUCUUCGGAUCGUAAAACUCUGUUAUUAGGGAAGAACAAAUGUGUAAGUAACUAUGCACGUCUUGACGGUACCUAAUCAGAAAGCGACGGCUAACUACGUG